AAGAGACGAACAGUUCUUCCCCUCCAGAGGACAUUGUGUUCAAGGAGCUGUUCCAGAAGCAGAAACCCUCUCAGCCUUGAUUUUGGAUCCAGCUCAGGACCGUUGUGCUUAAGAUUCAUUGUUAUUGUGGCUUAUCAUCACAUCUGUUUCUAACCUCAUUAGGGCCAUCAUUCUUGGAAAGUCAUCCAGUUCAUCAAUAUCCUUUAACACUGUUUGGAUUUGUGGGUGUUCAUUCAAGCAGGAAGGGAGGCCUAUGGAGGUGUGUUGAGGAGAAGGCCACAAAGCGUUAUUUUCAUCACCUGAUAUGGGCCAUUCAUGUGGGAAAACACAUCAAGAUCCAUCAUGGCAGCAGGGGAACACAGCAGAGAUGAGCAAAGCUGGGCAGCAGCCUGACUGGGCUUGGCAUGGAGCCAGAAGUACCUCUUCAACAUGGGAAAGGUAGCUGAAAAUGCUACACUUCUUUCUGGCCUCUGCUUUCAGGUAAGAAAUCUUCCAUCAUUCAAAUUGGUGUUUCCCUAUAUGUAUUGCAUCACAUUUCUGACUGCUGUAAAAAAUUUUUGUGUGUCUUUAGUUUUCAGAAUUGUAAUUAUGAUACUUAGGUUUAUUCUAUUUGGUGUUCACUAAGCAUCUUGAAUCUAUAGAUUUGCAUCUUUCAUUAUGUUUGAGAAAUUCAGUAAUCAUUUCCUCCAACACAUUUAGUCACUUUCUCCUCCACUACAACUAAGAUAUGAAUAUCAUCUUUGUUAUUGUACCACAGGUACCUCAUACUGUUAAUUCUUUUACAGUUUACUAUUUCUCUGUUCAGAUUUUGUAAAAUAUAUUGCUCUGUCCUCAAGCUGAUUUUAUCCUGUCAUACCACUUUACAAUUGAAUGUAUCCAGUUCUUUUGUAUCUUAAAUAUAUCCAAAGUUUUUGUUUGUUGUUUUUUAAAUUUCGGUUACUGGCUGCAUUUUUAAAAUUGUAGGUUCAGGAGAUACAUGUGCAGGUUUGUUACAUGAGUGUAUCAUGUAAUGGUGGGGUUUGGACUUCUUGUGAAUCCAUCACUCCAGUAAUGAACAUAAUACCUGUGGCAGACUGCCACUGCUACUGCUUGAGACCAUCACUACAGCAGUUACUACUGUUAUCACUUGAGACCUUCAUUACAACUGAAGAAAGGGAUGAAUGUAGAAAUAAUAAAAAGCAAAAGAAACUGUUUUAAGGAAAGGCUAGCAUGGGGAAGAAGAGAGAGGAAAAGAAGAAAAGAGCUCCCUGCUUCUAGUGAGCAAAGGCAGCCGCCCUGAGCUUCCACAGCCCUUCUUAUUUAUUGGGUAACAAGAGCAAGGAGGAGGAGGUAAUGAUUGGUCAGCUGCUUAAUUGACCACAGGUUCAUAUUAUUACUAACAGGCUUCAGCUGUACCUAAUCACAAGAAACAUUUGUGCGGCCUCCCCUUUUCAAAUUAAUUGAGCAAGGCAAUUGCAGGCUGUGCAGCCCUUAACUGCCAGUUGGUGAUCCAGCUUCAUUUUUCUUAACCCUUAUUCAAAACAGAGUUGCUCUGGUUUGAAUGCUUCUUACAUAUUUUCCCCUUCCCUUUUACAAGAGGACCCUUAAUCCUAAGGGUUGCAGAAGGAUGAAGGUCCGUCUUCUGCAACUUCUUCAUGCUGAGUAAGGGCAAUGAUAUUCCUGCCUAGUAGGGUCUCUUGUAUUCAGGGUAGAGAGGAGCUCAGUCAGAAAGCAUUGGUUCGUUAAACAUCGAUUGUGCCUCUGAGUUCCAGCAAAAGGUGAAACUCUGGCGCUCCAUCAGUUUCUCAGCUUCCUGUGUGGUUUUCUUGAUCUGUCCCCGUAUUAUGGGGGUUGAUGUCAGCAUGAUUUCCGUCGGUCCGCGUUCUGUCUUCUCAUUCGGAUUCAACUGGCUCAUGGCUCAUACUAGGGGAACCAGGCCUGUAAUUGGAAUCCAUGGGUCCCACCAGUCUCCCAUUCCAUGGUUGCACACUUCUUGAGGGCACCUGCAUGGCUUGUCCAUCUUCUGUAAAGACACAAGCAUACCCUCGUCCCCACGUUAGUAAACCUACUGAAACAGAAGCAAAAACCUUUUGUGGCUGUAGCCAGAAGGCAUGCCGUUGCUGAGCAUUUGUUAGCUCAGCUUCUGCUUCUUUGGUUAAUUACCGUGGGGUAAAACUUUCCAGUGACAAUGAGAGACAGGCUGUUUCUCAUUAACAGAAGACAGAAAGCAAAUCGAGGCUUAUCCUUUUCAUACAACAGUAUAGCAAAAAGCAAUCCUUAAACUUUCAAUUUGCACUGUACAGGUGGGUCCACUAGAUGCUAUGGGUUGUGAAAGAUAAAUCUCUCUCCUAGUUGCACUUCCAAAUUCCUGACCUCCUUGCUUCUUCUUACGUAGAGAAGGGUACAAUUUACAGGGAAUAAGCAACAGUUGAGCAACAUAUUCUCCCGGUUCACAAACCCAAAGAUUUUGUGACAUUACCACUACCUGAAUUUCUCCUUCACAAUCAAAGUCAACAACUCCUGGGCCUGUAAGUUAAGACAGCUUUUACCAAAAUCAAUCCCAUGUAUCUUGUUCGCAAAUGUCGUCAAAUACCAAUGGGAAUCUUAGUAAGUUUGUUUCUUUCCAUUAACAUAAUUUGUUAUCUAGGAGAUCUAAUCCUGCAUUUCCAGGUGUUCCUGGAGAGAGGCAAUCCAUGUGCCUCCGGAAACCCACCCCUGAGAUGGAGUUGUGGCCUGGACGGGAAAUGCCCUCAUAGUUUGAGGUGCCCAGGUCCAGGCCCCCUUCUUGCUUCCCGACAGGAGAGUGCUGUUUUGAUGAAAUAUUGAGUGGCAUUCAUUAGUCCGAUGAUUUCCUUUAUUGCAACGAGGGCAAAGUCCUGGCCUUUUUUUCUAUUAAGAGGGGAACUGUGUUACAAGAUCCCUUUUGCCAAGAGGUCUGCUGCCAUUCUUUUUUGAAACGUCCAAUUUGUCUACACUUAUAACACUUUCCCACUUUAGGGCUUGACCCUUGGCUUCCUUUAGAUCUAUCAGCUACCCAAUUAGCCAUUGCCUGAGUCAAUACUGCAGAGCAAUGAAGCUCAGCUUCCAUAUCCUGACAAGCUCUGAGAAAACCUCCCAAGUCCUCUGCACAUCUCACAGGUGCCAGUGCACGUUUACAAUCCACGAAAGCCAAAGCUAAAGUUAGCCUUUCUGUAGCCACAAAAGACAGUACAAGCCAAUUUUCAUCCUCCCUCUUCUGUUCACCACUUUCAAUAGGUGCUGUAGGUGGGGCAAAAAAUGUUCUAAAACCCUGAAAUAAAAGAUGGUAUGUACCAAACUCCAAACAAAAAAGAGAAAAGAAAUAGCCAAAUUCUUCCUCCUGUUACCCUAAUUCAAAAGCUUCCCAUUCUUUGUACAUCUAGGGCACUGACCAGUACAUUUUUAGACCAGUACAUGCUGCCUGAAGACUUGUAACAGGGUUGGUCAUUCAUCUAGUUGGUUUUAGGUUUUUUUUUUUCUUCCUGUUCUAGCAUACCUUCCAUGCAAAUCUCUGCUAGUCUUUGCUAGUCUACAUUUUUUUACCUCUUUAGGGCACUGACCUUAUAUUGCUAGUUUGAUAGUCUUUAUCCCUAGCUGACCCUGUCUGUCCCUGUGGUCCGUUAGUUCCUUCAAGUCCCUGUCUUUCCCUACCUACCUCUACCUUCUUACUUCUACAUCCCUCCCUCUAUCUCCCUCCCUCCCUCCCUCUAUCUCCAUCCCUCCCUCCCUCUACCUCCCUCCCUCCCUCCCUCCACCUCCCUCCAACUCCCUCCCUCCCUCUACCUCCCUUCUUCCCUCUACCUACCUCCCUCCACCUACCUACCUCCCUCCCUCUACUUACUUCCCUCCCUCCUUCCCUCUACCUCCCUCCCUCCUUCCCUCUAUCUCCCUCCAUCCUUCCCUCUACCUCCCUCCUUCCUUCCCUCCUUCCCUCUAUCUCCUUCCCUCCUUCCCUCUACCUCCCUCCCUCUCUUCCUGCCUCCUUCCAUCUAUUCCUCCCUCCUUCUGUCUAUUCCUCCCUCCUUCCCUCUCUUCCUCCCUCCUUCCCUCUCUUCCUCCCUCCUUCCCUCUCUUCCUCCCUCCUUCCCUCUCUUCCUCCCUCCCUCUCUUCCUCCCUCCCUCUCUUCCUCCCUCCCUCUCUCCCUCUCCCUCCCUCUCCCUCCCCCUCCCUCCAUCUUCCUCUCUCUCCCUCCCUCUCUCUCCUUCCCUCUCCCUCCCUCUCCUUCCCUUCCCUCCCCUUCCCUCCCCCUCCACCUCACUCCCUCCACUUCCACCUCCCUCCCUCCACCUCCACCUCCCUCCCUCCACCUCCACCUCCCUCCCUCUACCUAUUUAUCUCUAUUUAUCUCUAUUUGUCCCUGCAGGACUCUUCAGGUCCCUUCAGGUCUCUGUUUGUCCCUGAUAGUUCCUGUGCAGGUUCCACUUGUGGCCGACUGCCACUACUACUACUUGAGUAACAGCAGUUACUGUUACUGCCUGAGACCAUCACUACAGCAGUUACUACUGUUACCACUUGAGACCGUCAUUACAACCGAACGAAGGGACGAAUGUAGAAAUGAUAACAAAAAACAUAAGUAACUAUUUUAAGGAAAGGCUAAGCAUGAGGAAGAAGAAGAGAGAAGAAAAGGGCUCCCUGUUUCUAGUGAGCAAAGACAGCUGCCCUGAGCUUCCACAGCCCUUUUUAUUUAUUGGGUAACAAGAACAAGGAGGAGGAGAUAUGAUUAGUCAGCUGCUUAAUUGACCACAGGUUCAUAUUAUUACUAACAGGUUUUAGAGGUACCUAAUCACAAGAAACAUUUGUGCGGCCUCCAACAAAUACCCAGUAUGUAAUUUUAAAACCCUUGCUCUCCCACUUCUCUCCCUGUUUUUGCAGUCCCCAGUGUCUAUUGUUUCUAUCUUUACGUCCAUGUGUACCAUCGUUUAGCUGGCAUGUGUAAGUAAGAACAUGUGGUAGUUUAUUUUCUGUUUCCAUUUUAUUUCACUUAGGAUAAUGGCCUCCAGCUGCAUCCAUGUUACCACAUUUUCUGUAUCCAAUCCACCACUUAUAGGCACCUAGGUAAACUUCAUGACUUUGCUGUUUUGAAUAGUGCUAUAAUAAACCUACGAGUGCAGGUUUCUUUAGGAUAAAAUUAUUUUUUUCCCUUUGGGUAGAUAUCCAGUAUUGGAGUUGCUGGCUCAAAUGGUAGUUUUAUUUUUAGUUCCUUGGGAAAUCUCCAUAUCGUUUUCCAUAGGGGUUGAACUAAUUUACAUUCUCACCAACAGUGUAUAAACAUUCCCUUUUCAAUACAACCUCACCAACAUCUGUUAUUUUUUUACUUUUUAAUAAUAGCCACUUGACUGGCUAUUAAUAAUAGCCACUUGACUGGCUAUUAAUAUAGCCAUUUGAUGGAAUCUCAUUGUGGUUUUGAUUUACAUCUCUCUGAUGAUCAGUGAUGUUGAACAUUUUUUCAUAUUUUUAUUGGCUGCUUGUAUGUCUUUUGAAAAAUAUUUGUUCCUGGUCUUUGCUCACUUUUUAAUGAAGUUAAUUUUUUUUUGCUUAUUGAUAAAUUUAAGUUCCUUAUAGAUUCUGAAAAUUAGUCUACUGUCAGAGGCAUAGUUUGCAAAUGUUUUCCCCCAUGCUAUAGGUUGUCUGUUUACUCUGUUAUUUCUUUUGUGGUGCAGAAGAUCUUUAGUUUUAUUAAGUCUCAUUUGUCAACUUUUAUUUUUGUUGCAUUUUCCUUUGAGGUCCUGGUUAUAAAUUAUCUGCCUCAAACAAUGUCUUGAAGACUUUUCCUAGGUUUUCUUCUAGAAUUUUUACAGUUUCAGGACUUACACUGAAGUCUUUAAUCUAUCUUGAGAUAAUUUUUCUAUAUGGUGAUAGGUAGGGGUCCAGUUUCAUUCUUCUGCAUAUGGCUAGACAGCUUUCCCCACACCAUUUAUUGAAUAGGGAGUACUUUUCCCAUUGCUUAUUUUUGUAAACUUUGUUGAAGAUUAGUUGGUUGUAGGCAUGUGGCUUUAUUUCUGGAUGCUCUGUUUUGUUUCAUUGAUCUAUGUGUCCGUUUUUGUAGAAGUACCAUGCUGAUUUGGUUACUGUAGCCUUAUUAUAUAGUUUGAAGUAAGGUAAUAUGAUGCCCCUAGCUUUGUUCUUUUUGCUUUAGAUUGCUUUGGCUUUUUGGGCUAUUUUUGGUUCCAUGUGAAAAUUAUGAUAGUUUUUUUUUUCACUCUGUGAAAAAUGACAUUGGGAGUUUGAUAGGAAUUGCAUUGAACCUGUAGAAUGCUUUGAGAAGUAUGAUCAUUUUAGUGAUAUUGAUUCUUCUAAUCCAUGAGCAUGGGAAGUUUUUCUAUUUGCUGUGUCAUCUAUAAUUUCUUUCAGCAGUGUUUUGUAGUUCUUUUGUAGAAAUCUUUCACCUUUUCAGUUAUAUUUUAUUUGUGUGUGUGUGUAUAUGUGUGGCUAUUGUAAAUGGGAUUGAAUUCUUGAUUUGGUUUCCAGCUUGAACAUUAUUGGUGUAUAGAAAUGCUACUGAUUUGUGUACAUUGACUUUGUAUUCUAAAACUUUACUGCUGUUGUUCAUCAGGUCUAGCAGUGUCUUUGAGGAAUCACUAGGGUGUUUUAAUUAUAAGAUCUUAUCAGCCAAUGGAGAUAGUUAGACUUACUCUUUUCCUUUCUGAAUGUACUUAUUUCUUUCUCAUGACUAUUCUGGCUAGGACUUCCAGUACAAUAUUGAAUAGAAGUAGUGAAACUGUACAUCCUUGUCUUUUUCCAGUACUUAGGGGGAAUCGUUUCAACUUUGUGCAUUCUGUAUGAUGUAGGCAGUGGGUUUGUCAUAGAUGGAUUAUAUUAUUUUUAGGUAUGUUCUUUUGAUGCCUAGUUUACUGAGGGUUUUUAAUCAUGAAAGAAUGUUAGAUUUUAUAAAAUGCUUUCUCUGUGCCUAGUGAGAUGAUAUAUUUUUUUUGUUUUUAAUUCUGUUCAUGUGGUGAAUCACAUUUAUUGAUUUGCUUAUGUUGAACAAUUCUUGCAUCCAG
Molecule: long non-coding RNA, 6999 nt
Filed under: Homo sapiens (human)
Lineage: Eukaryota; Metazoa; Chordata; Mammalia; Primates; Hominidae
Description: HSALNT0167935
Source: RNAcentral